UCAGAUUAGAGCUUGAGUGAUAAGCAUUUCAUUUACAAUGAGAUUAUAUUGAGUUAAUCAGUUAAUUUGAA
This 71-nucleotide transfer RNA is filed under the name Pyralis farinalis. RNAcentral's name for it is "tRNA-Val". Lineage: Eukaryota; Metazoa; Arthropoda; Insecta; Lepidoptera; Pyralidae. The record is from RNAcentral.